UAAUUUUAUCUGAAUCUGCAAAUUGCCUCUUUUGUGGGGGAGGAACUGACUGGAAGUGGUCAGCUGCAGGGCUAUUGGUGGUUACACCACAACUUUAUUCUCGUAAAUUAUGAUAUUUUUCACGCCUGUUUCUAAAUUAUGACGUUAUUCUUGUAAU
Sphaeramia orbicularis (orbiculate cardinalfish) is the source of this 157-nucleotide long non-coding RNA. RefSeq lists it as uncharacterized. The transcript has 3 exons. The record is from RefSeq and is a predicted model, not a curated record. NCBI's taxonomy places the organism in Eukaryota, Metazoa, Chordata, Actinopteri, Kurtiformes, Apogonidae.